RNAcentral lists this ribosomal RNA (253 nucleotides) under uncultured bacterium. RNAcentral describes it as "partial 16S ribosomal RNA". It matches the Rfam family "Bacterial small subunit ribosomal RNA", at positions 524 to 776 of the family's 1533-position model. The record is from RNAcentral.
UACGAAGGGGGCUAGCGUUGCUCGGAAUCACUGGGCGUAAAGCGCACGUAGGCGGAUUGUUAAGUCAGGGGUGAAAUCCUGGAGCUCAACUCCAGAACUGCCUUUGAUACUGGCGAUCUUGAGUCCGGGAGAGGUGAGUGGAACUGCGAGUGUAGAGGUGAAAUUCGUAGAUAUUCGCAAGAACACCAGUGGUGAAGGCGGCUCACUGGCCCGGUACUGACGCUGAGGUGCGAAAGCGUGGGGAGCAAACAGG